This is a long non-coding RNA of Hippocampus zosterae (dwarf seahorse), 644 nucleotides long. RefSeq lists it as uncharacterized. The transcript is spliced from 4 exons. The record is from RefSeq and is a predicted model, not a curated record. NCBI's taxonomy places the organism in Eukaryota, Metazoa, Chordata, Actinopteri, Syngnathiformes, Syngnathidae.
UGACCAUCAAUUAGGAAACGCGCGCUUUGCUACCUGCACAAAAGGAAGGCGUUGAGAAGAGUGAGCGUACGAGUCAGCAUCAUCGAGAAAACCCCAGAAAGUGACAAAUACUUCAGAAUUAAAGCAGAUGGACAAUCCCACUGAAGAUGGUGAUUAUUCUGACUCAAGUCUUUUUGGAUCAGAUGAGGAAUACAAACCAACUAAGACAUCCUCUGAGUCGAGUGAUGACGAGGAGAUAUUCCAUCCAAAGGUAGAAAAAUUGUUCUCUUAUGAUACAUCCAGUGAAGACUCUACAAGUCAUCAGACAUAUGAAGCAGAGGAGCACAGUCAUGUCUGCAAUUCGUAAAGAAGCCCCAAAAAGGGAAAAGCAUCUCUCCAAAAGAGGGAAGACUGAAUUGGAUGAUUCGAGUCCAGGCGGGGACCCUGGCGGUCCGAUCCUUGGCUGCAGAAGCUAGCUCUUGGGACAUGGAAUGUCACCUCUCUGGCAGGGAAGGAGCCCGAGCUGGUGUGUGAGGCAGAGAAUUUCCGACUGGAUAUAGUCGGACUUGCCUCCACACACAGCCUGGGUUCUGGUACCAGUUCUCUCGAGAGGGGUUGGACUCUCUUCCACUCUGGAGUUGCUCACGGUGAGAGGCGCAGAGCAG